Molecule: ribosomal RNA, 460 nt
Filed under: uncultured bacterium
Lineage: Bacteria
Description: partial 16S ribosomal RNA
Rfam family: Bacterial small subunit ribosomal RNA
Source: RNAcentral
CCUACGGGAGGCUGCAGUGAGGAAUAUUGGUCAAUGGACGAGAGUCUGAACCAGCCAAGUAGCGUGAAGGAUGACUGCCCUAUGGGUUGUAAACUUCUUUUAUAUGGGAAUAAAAUGUUCCACGUGUGGGAUUUUGUAUGUACCAUAUGAAUAAGGAUCGGCUAACUCCGGGCCAGCAGCCGCGGUAAUACGGAGGAUCCGAGCGUUAUCCGGAUUUAUUGGGUUUAAAGGGAGCGUAGGUGGAUUGUUAAGUCAGUUGUGAAAGUUUGCGGCUCAACCGUAAAAUUGCAGUUGAAACUGGCAGUCUUGAGUACAGUAGAGGUGGGCGGAAUUCGUGGUGUAGCGGUGAAAUGCUUAGAUAUCACGAAGAACUCCGAUUGCGAAGGCAGUUCACUGGACUGCAACUGACACUGAGGCUCGAAAGUGUGGGUAUCAAACAGGAUUAGAUACCCUAGUAGUC